UACGUAGGGGGCAAGCGUUGUCCGGAUUUAUUGGGCGUAAAGAGCGUGUAGGCGGCUAGGUAGGUCCGUUGUGAAAACUCGAGGCUCAACCUCGAGACGUCGAUGGAAACCAUCUAGCUAGAGUCCGGAAGAGGAGAGUGGAAUUCCUGGUGUAGCGGUGAAAUGCGCAGAUAUCAGGAAGAACACCCGUGGCGAAGGCGGCUCUCUGGAACGCAACUGACGCUGAGACGCGAAAGCGUGGGGAGCAAACAGG
This 253-nucleotide ribosomal RNA is filed under the name uncultured bacterium. RNAcentral's name for it is "partial 16S ribosomal RNA". It matches the Rfam family "Bacterial small subunit ribosomal RNA", at positions 524 to 776 of the family's 1533-position model. The record is from RNAcentral.